GUGCUUAUUCAUGGUGUUAAAUUGCUCUGUGUGGAUGACUACAAAGGGGAACAUUCCUCACUGCCUGCACAAGUAAAGCAGGAGCUUCACUUGACACCAAUUAAUUUUUAAGAGCAGAGAACCCACUGUCGUAUUCAAUUGGACUCAGUGUGUCUCCGGUGCUAUACCAGGGAUGCGAAGCAGCUGCCACUUGGACUGGCUGUGUUGGGACUGAAUCAGAAGAGGAUUGAUUUAGAUACAAGUGGCCCAGCAGGAGCAAAGAGAUGAGGUGCUCUAACUCUUCCAGAGAACAGAAUUAACAUGG
Long non-coding RNA from Neopelma chrysocephalum (saffron-crested tyrant-manakin), 304 nucleotides. RefSeq lists it as uncharacterized. The record is from RefSeq and is a predicted model, not a curated record. Lineage: Eukaryota; Metazoa; Chordata; Aves; Passeriformes; Pipridae. The transcript is spliced from 3 exons.